UUUAAAGUCUUCAGAAAAAAAACCCAUCCUUUUGUGCCUACCAACUGUGUCAACCUGGUCUGUUUCCUGUUUUUUUUCCUCCAACCUCAGUGUGGUCUGUGCUCAAAGACUGCAAGCCGUGUGACGAAACAGUGUCGUACAGAUCUCACUUCCGAAACUCGAGGAUAUUCAGGGAUCCCCCUUGUUAUAGAGGCUUUUUCUCAUAAAACCAAAAUGUCUCCUCCGGUAAUUAAGCAGGUCUUUAAGAGAAAGGCCUUUGAAAUUUGAAAACGUUGGCAAAGGAGUUUUAUUACCACGUUGGUGUAUUUAAUUGUUUCCAUCGAUUUUGUUUUGUGUAUUUAUCAGGAGCUAGUCAAUGCAUUUGUGAUGGGCAUUUCUAUUGUGUGAGGCCAGUUGCUCUGCUUUUCUCCUUGCACCUUCAUUCUCCAGACUUCCCAGUACUUCAGCUGCUGUUUCAUAUGUUACAAAACACGCUGUCACUGACGCUGUGGCUUGGUCUUUUUCUGCACACUCUGCAUGGUGAUGCAUUAUUUUUUUUACCUCUUGAUCCCACAUAAAAUGAAGGUGCAGCUUACAGCAAAAUCAACAUGUUUGAAUGCUCUGUGUUUUUCUGCUUCUCGGUUGUUGUGAAACUCUGCAGUUUUCCUGCUGCCCUGCCACAUGUUUGGUGGUGGUGCUCAGUUCCCGUCUAUUGUCCGGGUUAGAGAUGUAUAUUUAAAGAGAGAGAGAUACGGUGCCUGAUUGUGGGAGGUAAAUCAUUUGGCAAAGAGAGAACAGGAGAACUCCUUUCGUCCCUGCUUGGACGUCUGCGUCCGUUCACCUCAGAAAAUCAGGUGUGAGACGGGAGGUACAACAAGGCAGAGGCGCGUUUUCAUCGGGGCACUGUGGCGGGGGGGUGAGGGGCUCCAUUCCCCUGGAGGAUGGGACUUGGCAUCGGAUCGGGAAGCAGAUGGAACUGGCACUACGAAGGAGGGGCUCUUGGAUGGCGAUCGGCUCAGCCAUCGUAGUCGGCAGUGCCCGGCGGUCCAAUCCUGGGAUCUGACAAGUCCGAGUGGAAGUGGAGGUGGUGGCAUGCUUGCUCCUGUUCGACCUCCUGAAUUCCUGGUUGGCAUCCUUGGGGAUCACUCGAGAAAUGUUCCAGCUUGAUAGGAUGCGUGCGGAGAGAAACAGUCGGAAAGAUCCCGCCUCACUAGUAAUUUAUCAGCUCAAGGCCUUCUGGGCAGCUCGUACAUAGCUGGUAAAUUGGGUUUGAGCUGCUUUGCUGUUCAGAGUAAACCAUGCACAGAUUAGGAAGUGAACCCUAACCGUGCCGAAUACUGAGCUGUGAGCUGUUUCACUUGUUGGGAAUACGUUUUCCUUCAAGCCUAAGCCAGGCCUUGUGUGUAAGCUAUUAACAGGACCCAGUAACAGGGUGCCUAUAAAACUGCCUCCUCAAAGCUAAAAGAUUUAGGAGUUAACCUCUGCUAUAAUCCACUUCCAUUUCUUAGCAGUCUAUAAAUGUUUUAAGUGCAAACACUGUGCCUCUGGCUUCUUUUGUUGAGUGUGUAAUUCUUGACAUUGAUAUGCCUAUUUAGAAAUCGUUGGAAAUUGUAGCCCCACAACACCCAUGUUUUAUGAAAGUGAUACCAGGUAGGAAAAGUUGGGGAAAAAAAAAGAGAUUAGUAACAGUGCAAUUUCUAUGGUGGCUGCACUAAAACUCUGAAGUGUUUUCUCCUUUCUCAUCUGAUUUUGAAAUCUGCUCACUUUGCGAACUUGUUUUUAACGACUAGAACAACAGAAAAACAUGCGGCGAUCUUUGAUUCAAGACAAGUGGAUGGUGGCUUGGAGAUAUUAUGGCAG
RNAcentral lists this long non-coding RNA (1839 nucleotides) under Lepisosteus oculatus (spotted gar). RNAcentral describes it as "lncRNA (ENSLOCG00000022377.1)". The record is from RNAcentral. Lineage: Eukaryota; Metazoa; Chordata; Actinopteri; Semionotiformes; Lepisosteidae.